GACGUAGGGGGCCAGCGUUGUUCGGAAUUACUGGGUGUAAAGGGUUCGUAGGCGGUGUAGCAAGUCGGGAGUGAAAUCUCUGGGCUUAACCCAGAGGCUGCUUCCGAAACUGCUGUGCUUGAGUGUGGGAGAGGCGCGUGGAAUUCCUGGUGUAGCGGUGAAAUGCGUAGAUAUCAGGAGGAACACCUGUGGCGAAAGCGGCGCACUGGACCACAACUGACGCUGAGGCGCGAAAGCUAGGGGAGCAAACAGG
RNAcentral lists this ribosomal RNA (253 nucleotides) under uncultured bacterium. Its description in RNAcentral is "partial 16S ribosomal RNA". It matches the Rfam family "Bacterial small subunit ribosomal RNA", at positions 524 to 776 of the family's 1533-position model. The record is from RNAcentral.